CUACGGGUGGCAGCAGUGGGGAAUAUUGGACAAUGGGCGAAAGCCUGAUCCAGCCAUGCCGCGUGUGUGAAGAAGGCCUUCGGGUUGUAAAGCACUUUCAGUGGGGAAGAAAGCCUUGGGGCUAAUACCCUCGAGGAAGGACAUCACCCACAGAAGAAGCACCGGCUAACUCCGUGCCAGCAGCCGCGGUAAUACGGAGGGUGCGAGCGUUAAUCGGAAUUACUGGGCGUAAAGCGCGCGUAGGCGGUCUGAUAAGCCGGUUGUGAAAGCCCCGGGCUCAACCUGGGAACGGCAUCCGGAACUGUCAGGCUAGAGUGCAGGAGAGGAAGGUAGAAUUCCCGGUGUAGCAGUGAAAUGCGUAGAGAUCGGGAGGAAUACCAGUGGCGAAGGCGGCCUUCUGGACUGACACUGACGCUGAGGUGCGAAAGCGUGGGUAGCAAACAGGAUUAGAUACCCUUGUAGUC
RNAcentral lists this ribosomal RNA (464 nucleotides) under Vreelandella stevensii. RNAcentral describes it as "partial 16S ribosomal RNA". It matches the Rfam family "Bacterial small subunit ribosomal RNA", at positions 339 to 795 of the family's 1533-position model. Lineage: Bacteria; Pseudomonadati; Pseudomonadota; Gammaproteobacteria; Oceanospirillales; Halomonadaceae. The record is from RNAcentral.